UAAUUGCUGUGCAGCUUCUCUCUGUGUAUUUGGACCGUUGUUAUUUGAAGCCAAAGAAUUUAAAGAUAAAGUUAAACCUUGUGGUAUUCAUACAUAAUUAAAUAAAUAAGAUUUUUUUUUAAAAAGUUACUGCUUAGUAAUAUCAUUGAAACACAUUAAAUAUUAAAAUUCGUUGACAUAAGAUCAGCUGUUUUCCAUUCAAUACUUAGCUUAGAACGUCAGAUUGCUUUUUAUUACAAUAACAUGGCUUUAAUAUAUUACGACAAAACUAUUAAAACUUCUUAUGAACUUAUAUUAAAUGGCUUGAAAGAGACAUCAAGAGCUACGUCUAUUCAUGAAUUGGUAAAUUAUGUUACUGUUAAAACCGACUUUCCAGGUAGCGUAUGCUAUCAAGUAAUCAGAAAAGCCUUAGAUAAAGGCCUGGCUUGCAAAACUAUACGACAACUUGGUGAUCUCUACAUGGCCAUUCCCUCGAAUAUGGAAAUCACGUUGAGCAUGUUAAAACACUUGAAUCGCUAAAUCUAACUACUAAAAGAGAAACCUGCGUAUAAUUAAAGGAUUGUGUUAGAUGUCGAUUGCAUAGGGGAAAUCAUCAUUAAUCCAUUAAACAUCGUUGUAAGAUCAGACUAUGUUUUUAUCGCAGCAAUAAACAGGUGUUCCAAGGUCAAGAUUCAUCUUUAUUCAAAAUAAUAAAA
Drosophila albomicans is the source of this 695-nucleotide RNA transcript. RefSeq lists it as uncharacterized. The record is from RefSeq and is a predicted model, not a curated record. Lineage: Eukaryota; Metazoa; Arthropoda; Insecta; Diptera; Drosophilidae. The transcript is spliced from 2 exons.